AACGAACGCUGGCGGCGCGCCUAAUACAUGCAAGUCGAGCGAGAAGACGUAGCAAUACGUUUGUAAAGCGGCGAACGGGUGAGGAAUACAUGGGUAACCUACCCUCGAGUGGGGAAUAACUAGCCGAAAGGUUAGCUAAUACCGCGUACGCUCCUUGGACUUCGGUUCAGGGAGGAAAGCGAUACCGUGGUAUCGCGCUCUUGGAUGGGCUCAUGUCCUAUCAGCUUGUUGGUGAGGAACGGCUCACCAAGGCUUCGACGGGUAGCUGGUCUGAGAGGACGAUCAGCCACACUGGCACUGCGACACGGGCCAGACUCCUAC
Molecule: ribosomal RNA, 321 nt
Filed under: uncultured bacterium
Lineage: Bacteria
Description: bacterial SSU rRNA
Rfam family: Bacterial small subunit ribosomal RNA
Source: RNAcentral